ACGAACGCUGGCGGCAUGCCUAACACAUGCAAGUCGAACGAGACCUUCGGGUCUAGUGGCGCACGGGUGCGUAACGCGUGGGAACCUGCCCUUAGGUUCGGAAUAACUCCCCGAAAGGGGUGCUAAUACCGGAUAAUGUCUUCGGACCAAAGAUUUAUCGCCUUUGGAUGGGCCCGCGUUGGAUUAGCUAGUUGGUAGGGUAAAAGCCUACCAAGGCGACGAUCCAUAGCUGGUCUGAGAGGAUGAUCAGCCACACUGGGACUGAGACACGGCCCAGACUCCUACGGGAGGCAGCAGUGGGGAAUAUUGGACAAUGGGCGAAAGCCUGAUCCAGCAAUGCCGCGUGAGUGAUGAAGGCCUUAGGGUUGUAAAGCUCUUUUACCCGGGAUGAUAAUGACAGUACCGGGAGAAUAAGCUCCGGCUAACUCCGCGC
This 433-nucleotide ribosomal RNA is filed under the name uncultured bacterium. RNAcentral's name for it is "partial 16S ribosomal RNA". It matches the Rfam family "Bacterial small subunit ribosomal RNA", at positions 29 to 508 of the family's 1533-position model. The record is from RNAcentral.